Molecule: ribosomal RNA, 2902 nt
Filed under: Klebsiella pneumoniae
Lineage: Bacteria; Pseudomonadati; Pseudomonadota; Gammaproteobacteria; Enterobacterales; Enterobacteriaceae
Description: 23S ribosomal RNA
Rfam family: Bacterial large subunit ribosomal RNA
Source: RNAcentral
GGUUAAGCGACUAAGCGUACACGGUGGAUGCCCUGGCAGUCAGAGGCGAUGAAGGACGUGCUAAUCUGCGAAAAGCGUCGGUAAGGUGAUAUGAACCGUUAUAACCGGCGAUGUCCGAAUGGGGAAACCCAGUGCAAUUCGUUGCACUAUCGUUAACUGAAUACAUAGGUUAACGAGGCGAACCGGGGGAACUGAAACAUCUAAGUACCCCGAGGAAAAGAAAUCAACCGAGAUUCCCCCAGUAGCGGCGAGCGAACGGGGAGCAGCCCAGAGUCUGAAUCAGCUUGUGUGUUAGUGGAACGGUCUGGAAAGUCCGACGGUACAGGGUGAUAGUCCCGUACACCAAAAUGCACAGGUUGUGAACUCGAAGAGUAGGGCGGGACACGUGGUAUCCUGUCUGAAUAUGGGGGGACCAUCCUCCAAGGCUAAAUACUCCUGACUGACCGAUAGUGAACCAGUACCGUGAGGGAAAGGCGAAAAGAACCCCGGCGAGGGGAGUGAAAAAGAACCUGAAACCGUGUACGUACAAGCAGUGGGAGCACCUUCGGGUGUGACUGCGUACCUUUUGUAUAAUGGGUCAGCGACUUAUAUUCUGUAGCAAGGUUAACCGUAUAGGGGAGCCGCAGGGAAACCGAGUCUUAACUGGGCGUUAAGUUGCAGGGUAUAGACCCGAAACCCGGUGAUCUAGCCAUGGGCAGGUUGAAGGUUGGGUAACACUAACUGGAGGACCGAACCGACUAAUGUUGAAAAAUUAGCGGAUGACUUGUGGCUGGGGGUGAAAGGCCAAUCAAACCGGGAGAUAGCUGGUUCUCCCCGAAAGCUAUUUAGGUAGCGCCUCGUGAAUUCAUCUUCGGGGGUAGAGCACUGUUUCGGCUAGGGGGUCAUCCCGACUUACCAACCCGAUGCAAACUACGAAUACCGAAGAAUGUUAUCACGGGAGACACACGGCGGGUGCUAACGUCCGUCGUGAAGAGGGAAACAACCCAGACCGCCAGCUAAGGUCCCAAAGUCAUGGUUAAGUGGGAAACGAUGUGGGAAGGCACAGACAGCCAGGAUGUUGGCUUAGAAGCAGCCAUCAUUUAAAGAAAGCGUAAUAGCUCACUGGUCGAGUCGGCCUGCGCGGAAGAUGUAACGGGGCUAAACCAUGCACCGAAGCUGCGGCAGCGACACUAUGUGUUGUUGGGUAGGGGAGCGUUCUGUAAGCCUGUGAAGGUGACCUGUGAGGGUUGCUGGAGGUAUCAGAAGUGCGAAUGCUGACAUAAGUAACGAUAAAGCGGGUGAAAAGCCCGCUCGCCGGAAGACCAAGGGUUCCUGUCCAACGUUAAUCGGGGCAGGGUGAGUCGACCCCUAAGGCGAGGCCGAAAGGCGUAGUCGAUGGGAAACAGGUUAAUAUUCCUGUACUUGGUGUUACUGCGAAGGGGGGACGGAGAAGGCUAUGUUAGCCGGGCGACGGUUGUCCCGGUUUAAGCAUGUAGGCUGGUUAUCCAGGCAAAUCCGGAUAAUCAAGGCUGAGGUGUGAUGACGAGGCACUACGGUGCUGAAGUAACAAAUGCCCUGCUUCCAGGAAAAGCCUCUAAGCAUCAGGUAACAUCAAAUCGUACCCCAAACCGACACAGGUGGUCAGGUAGAGAAUACCAAGGCGCUUGAGAGAACUCGGGUGAAGGAACUAGGCAAAAUGGUGCCGUAACUUCGGGAGAAGGCACGCUGGUGUGUAGGUGAAGUCCCUGCGGAUGGAGCUGAGACCAGUCGAAGAUACCAGCUGGCUGCAACUGUUUAUUAAAAACACAGCACUGUGCAAACACGAAAGUGGACGUAUACGGUGUGACGCCUGCCCGGUGCCGGAAGGUUAAUUGAUGGGGUUAUCCGUAAGGAGAAGCUCUUGAUCGAAGCCCCGGUAAACGGCGGCCGUAACUAUAACGGUCCUAAGGUAGCGAAAUUCCUUGUCGGGUAAGUUCCGACCUGCACGAAUGGCGUAAUGAUGGCCAGGCUGUCUCCACCCGAGACUCAGUGAAAUUGAACUCGCUGUGAAGAUGCAGUGUACCCGCGGCAAGACGGAAAGACCCCGUGAACCUUUACUAUAGCUUGACACUGAACAUUGAGCCUUGAUGUGUAGGAUAGGUGGGAGGCUUUGAAGCGUGGACGCCAGUCUGCGUGGAGCCAACCUUGAAAUACCACCCUUUAAUGUUUGAUGUUCUAACGUUGGCCCCUGACCGGGGUUGCGGACAGUGUCUGGUGGGUAGUUUGACUGGGGCGGUCUCCUCCCAAAGCGUAACGGAGGAGCACGAAGGUUAGCUAAUCCUGGUCGGACAUCAGGAGGUUAGUGCAAUGGCAUAAGCUAGCUUGACUGCGAGCGUGACGGCGCGAGCAGGUGCGAAAGCAGGUCAUAGUGAUCCGGUGGUUCUGAAUGGAAGGGCCAUCGCUCAACGGAUAAAAGGUACUCCGGGGAUAACAGGCUGAUACCGCCCAAGAGUUCAUAUCGACGGCGGUGUUUGGCACCUCGAUGUCGGCUCAUCACAUCCUGGGGCUGAAGUAGGUCCCAAGGGUAUGGCUGUUCGCCAUUUAAAGUGGUACGCGAGCUGGGUUUAGAACGUCGUGAGACAGUUCGGUCCCUAUCUGCCGUGGGCGCUGGAGAAUUGAGGGGGGCUGCUCCUAGUACGAGAGGACCGGAGUGGACGCAUCACUGGUGUUCGGGUUGUCAUGCCAAUGGCACUGCCCGGUAGCUAAAUGCGGAAGAGAUAAGUGCUGAAAGCAUCUAAGCACGAAACUUGCCCCGAGAUGAGUUCUCCCUGAGACUUUAAGUCUCCUGAAGGAACGUUGAAGACGACGACGUUGAUAGGCCGGGUGUGUAAGCGCAGCGAUGCGUUGAGCUAACCGGUACUAAUGAACCGUGAGGCUUAACCUU